UACGUAGGGGGCAAGCGUUGUCCGGAUUCAUUGGGCGUAAAGAGCUCUUAGGCGGUUCAGUAAGUCGGGUGUGAAAGCUCCGAGCUCAACUCGGAGAGGCCACCCGAUACUGCUGUGACUUGAGUCCAGUAGAGGAGCGUGGAAUUCCUGGUGUAGCGGUGAAAUGCGCAGAUAUCAGGAGGAACACCAGCAGCGAAGGCGGCGCUCUGGGCUGGAACUGACGCUGAGGAGCGAAAGCGUGGGUAGCAAACAGG
Molecule: ribosomal RNA, 254 nt
Filed under: uncultured bacterium
Lineage: Bacteria
Description: partial 16S ribosomal RNA
Rfam family: Bacterial small subunit ribosomal RNA
Source: RNAcentral